This 253-nucleotide ribosomal RNA is filed under the name uncultured bacterium. Its description in RNAcentral is "partial 16S ribosomal RNA". It matches the Rfam family "Bacterial small subunit ribosomal RNA", at positions 524 to 776 of the family's 1533-position model. The record is from RNAcentral.
UACGGAGGGUGCAGGCGUUAUCCGGAUUUACUGGGUUUAAAGGGUGCGUAGGCGGAUAGGUAAGUCAGGGGUGAAAUCUUCGAGCUUAACUCGGAAAUUGCCUUUGAUACUAUCUAUCUUGAAUAUUGUGGAGGUAAGCGGAAUAUGUCAUGUAGCGGUGAAAUGCUUAGAGAUGACAUAGAACACCUAUUGCGAAGGCAGCUUACUACGCAUAUAUUGACGCUGAGGCACGAAAGCGUGGGGAUCAAACAGG